UGUGACUUGUUACCUGUUGAACUGGGGUGU
RNAcentral lists this non-coding RNA (30 nucleotides) under Rattus norvegicus (Norway rat). The record is from RNAcentral. Lineage: Eukaryota; Metazoa; Chordata; Mammalia; Rodentia; Muridae.